GACGAACGCUGGCGGCGUGCUUAACACAUGCAAGUCGAACGGAAAGGCCCUGCUUGCAGGGUACUCGAGUGGCGAACGGGUGAGUAACACGUGGGUGAUCUGCCCUGCACUUCGGGAUAAGCUUGGGAAACUGGGUCUAAUACCGGAUAGGAACCAUCUUUAGUGUGGUGGUUGGAAAGUUUUUUCGGUGUAGGAUGAGCUCGCGGCCUAUCAGCUUGUUGGUGGGGUAAUGGCCUACCAAGGCGGCGACGGGUAGCCGGCCUGAGAGGGUGUACGGCCACAUUGGGACUGAGAUACGGCCCAGACUCCGACGGGAGGCAGCAGUGGGGAAUAUUGCACAAUGGGCGCAAGCCUGAUGCAGCGACGCCGCGUGGGGGAUGAAGGCCUUCGGGUUGUAAACUCCUUUCGCUAGGGACGAAGCUUUGUUGUGACGGUACCUAGAUAAGAAGCACCGGCUAACUACGUG
RNAcentral lists this ribosomal RNA (466 nucleotides) under uncultured bacterium. RNAcentral describes it as "partial 16S ribosomal RNA". It matches the Rfam family "Bacterial small subunit ribosomal RNA", at positions 28 to 507 of the family's 1533-position model. The record is from RNAcentral.